Long non-coding RNA from Rosa chinensis, 1199 nucleotides. RefSeq lists it as uncharacterized. The transcript is spliced from 3 exons. NCBI's taxonomy places the organism in Eukaryota, Viridiplantae, Streptophyta, Magnoliopsida, Rosales, Rosaceae. The record is from RefSeq and is a predicted model, not a curated record.
AAUUAAAUCAGUAUGUUUGAUUGUAAUGCUGCCACGUUUUGGUUUCAUGUGGUUUUGGACCCUUUCAAUUAAGUUCGUGCAGUCCAUAAUUAACCUUAAUUAACUAAUGAUUAAUUAACAUCGUUUUGACGUAGAGCUGACCAUAUCAAUUUUUGUCGAAAACUCCACUUUGCAACUGCGACUCAGUCACUCAGCUUGUUAAAAACGCCACAUCAGGUCUUUCCAAAUUUUGACCCUUAAUUUGAAUAAAAUAUCCAAACUACCCCUUAAAACCCUCUCUCUUCCCUUAAAAAGACUUCACCUCUCUCUCUCUCUCUCUCUCUCUCUCUCUCUCUGAGUCUCUGCUGGUUUCAAAUGGAAGCCGACAUCCUAGCCCCAGUUCCUCCUCCUCAAUUCAAUAAUCGCUUAAUAACAUCGAUAAGAAGCUAAAAGGUGUACUCAAUCAAGCUAGAAGGCAGCUCUAUCAGAAAAUUCACGACAUUGAAUCAAGAAGGCAGCUUCCUAGCUCGAAAAGUCGCAAACUUCGACCCUUUGGAGGACGAAUACUUCACCCCGGCCAUUUUCCUUCAAGAACUCCUCGAUCUUCUCCUUAGCUCCCUCAGGAUCAACACACACACUCAAUCUCAUAACAAGUUUCAAACUCAUACUGAGCCUCAUCCACCUCUAAUUUCAACCCUUUCCAAUCAUACACAUCCCUUCCAUUCCCAAACCCUUCCAUCCUCAUAAACCCCAAAUUCCACUCUCACCCUCCUCAAGGCUCAAAGUCAUAGUUUCCUAAAAUCAUGCCUUCAGGAAAUAGAGUGUCGUUCUUCUAGAUGAUUCUACUCUCUCCUUCUCUCUCCUUCCAUUUUUUGAGUUGCAAUACUCUUUACUUCUCUAGUGCUUCUAGACGAUGAUACUCACCGUAUAUUUUAAUUAGGGUGGGAAUAAUGAAUGGUCAACUAUGUUAAAGAGACACCCGCGCCGCAAGAAUUCAUUUUGGUGCAGUCACUGGCCGCAAGAAAAAACACCCAAAGUCCCAAACCUACACGGCUACACCUUCCAUUACAUCAUCCAUGACGGCCUUCCAUUACAUCAUCUCCAUGACGGCCUUCCAUUACAUCAUCCAUGACGGCCUUCCAUUACAUCGUCAUGGUUUCGGCGUUGUCUGCAAAGGAUGCAUGGUGAUAAUUCUGACACCUUAGAAGCUUGAGAAAGAA